AAUAACUCAAUUAGUCUUGUGCAGACGCCCGCCCGUGGCGCUUAUCAACUGGCAGCACGUUACGCGAGUGUCGAGUGUUGUGUUGUGUGGGGGAGUGCUAAGGGGGUGGGAGUGAAGUGCAUUUCGCUUGGCGUUAACUUCGUUUCAUUUGCUGCUGCUUCUUCGGUAAAAGUUAUUUGGAGCAAAGCGCGUUGAUGAAGAAGUCCAUAAAGGUGCGAAGCAAAGCCCGGCGGCUUGGACCUGCAGCUGCUCACACUUUUUGCCUGCCCUCUCUGCUCCAAUCUCUUUCGUUCGCUCUCGCUCUGCUUGAGUGCAUGGCAACGGCAAGAAGCAACAACAAAGAGCAAACUUGAUGCUAGAGGGCGCCAUAGCAAAUGGCAAAUAAAUAAAAGCAGCCAGCAACAACAACAACAAGGACAGAGAGCUGCUGCUGCUGCUGCUACUGCCAAGCAUUUUCAAUAACAUUUCAAAAUUCUGGUUCAAAGGAAAGCGAUUCAAUAAAUUAAAUGUGUCCACAGUAAAAAACUUUCAGUAACAGUAAAGUGGAUGGCUCAGAAAGGAACUGCUUUGUAAACAGCUUCACAAAAAAUGUCAUAACACAUUGAACAAAGAAAACGAAGGCAGCUUUUUGUGGGCAGCUAAUAAGAGUAAAUCAGGCGAAAGCAGAGCUUUAAUGUGCUUUCCGUGUGCAGCUGCUUUUGCUGCUUGCUGCUGUUGCACACACAACAAUGUCCAGGCACUUGCCAGCAAAAUGCAACAACGAAAAAACAGCAAAAGCAAGCAAGGAAGGAAGAGCGGCUGCUGAGGAGAAAAGGAAAGCCACACACACAACGACAACAAUACUUGUUACUCAUUCAGAGAGAAGAGAGAAGAAAGAAGUAGCAAUUGAAAGAGAAAGAGAAAGAAAGAGAGAGACUUGAAGGAAAGGAGAAAGUACUAUGGAUAGCGUAAAGGAAACUGAUAAAAAGGAAAUAAUAUGGAAUAGAAUGCAUUGAUAACGUAAACAACCGCAAUUGCUCUUGAAUCCAGUGAAAAUUUAACUUUCAUCUCGUUACUGACGUUUUUGUCGCCUGUCUGCCUGGCAGGCAUUGCAUUGCGUACAACAAAUAUUUUUCAACAACUUCUCAAUGGCAGCAAAUGCGCACAGGAGAGAAAGAGGCAGAGAAGAGAAGAGAAGAGAAGAGAAAGAGAUUGGGAGAAGGAAGAGUCAUCUAAAGAUGCUGAUGGCGAUGAGGAUAGACGGACGAAGGAGAAAGACGAAAGGCGAAGACGAGACUGGAGACUGAGUUGCAUUGCUUGCGGCGUGGCAGUUUCUGUUGCUGUUGCUGUUGCCAGUCGCUGGUGUCGCUACUUGCUUUACGUGUCGGUGGCAUGCAACAAAAUUGAGGUGCAGAAACACGAGGAAUCACGGCAAAAAGACACAGAAAAGAUGCAGAAGUUGAUGGAGCGGCUGCUUGGGGUGGCUUCAAGUUUGUUUAGCAAAUUCUGUAAAUGUUAUGCGGCAGAGGAAGCAGCAGCAACAAUGUUGAUGGGGAAAUCGCAGUUGCAAAUUAAGAGAAAAGCUUCUGAGUAAAUCACAGUAACUGCAUUUUGUUUGGCUGCCAGUUUGUUGCUUAACUCGUUGUGGUUGCGGUUGGCCUUGAUUUAUUUGGCCCACGCGCCAAACGCAUGUUAACAAGAACCAGCAACAGCAACUGUUGUCACAUGUUGUUUUCUAUUUUUUUCAGGUGAACUCAAUAAUAUGGAUGAAUCCAAUAAGAUGGAUAAUGACAUUUCGAAGAGCGAUUUGGAUGGCUUUUACCAACAGGUAUCCAGCAAAGUUCAUCUUUACAAACUCAAAGCAAUAAGUCCUGUCAAAAAGCGCAAAAAUAUGACUGGGAUAGAACCAAAUUUCGCUAAUUUAUAUAUAUUUGUAUAUUACAUAGUUGCCUUAAAGUGACCAAAAUACGGUGAAUUUUCCCAUUUUUAAAU
This is a long non-coding RNA of Drosophila nasuta, 1971 nucleotides long. RefSeq lists it as uncharacterized. The transcript is spliced from 6 exons. The record is from RefSeq and is a predicted model, not a curated record. Lineage: Eukaryota; Metazoa; Arthropoda; Insecta; Diptera; Drosophilidae.